Molecule: RNA transcript, 2071 nt
Organism: Malania oleifera
Lineage: Eukaryota; Viridiplantae; Streptophyta; Magnoliopsida; Santalales; Ximeniaceae
Exons: 3
Source: RefSeq, a predicted model, not a curated record
UAUUUAUUUAUUUUCAAGAAAGAAGACGAAGAAGAAGAAGGGAAGAGGAAGAAAAAAAGAACUGUGCUGUACGUAAUGCCGUAGUGUCUAGGCUUCUCCCCAUUUCCACGCACGUAACUCACAGAACAGCAACACUGGGAAUGUCGAUCCCAGGAAGAAGCCGGUAACAUCUCCAUUCUCCAGUCAGAAACACUUCACAGUUUACACUCACAAACACACAUUGUCAAACGAUCAUCGCUGUCGCCAACAAAAACCCUCACCUAUCCCUCUCUCAUGGGCGAACCACUCCAAAUACGAACCCAGACCCAGUACCAAACCCAGACCGAGGCCCAAAACCAAACCCAAUCCCACUCUCAUCCCCACCUUGAUACCAACGCCGCCGCCGCCGCUCUCCAACCACUGCCAACCCGUCCUGGCCAAUCCCCCACCAGCGACGGCACUUCUCAGACCACCCGAAACUCCUCCAAGAUCCCAUUCCGGCCCCAGAAAAUCAGAAAACUUUCGCCGGACGCCCCUUCCGAUGCCUCCUCCUCCGACACCAAACCCCCAAAACCCAUCAGAGUCUACAAAGACCCGGGCAAGAGCAAGAAGCGGAACGCCUCUCACUCAACCAGGGUUUUUCUUGCGAAGCCAUUGUCGUGCGAAGGCGAGACCGAUCUUGCCCUCCGGCAUCUCCAGAACACCGAUCCCCUCCUCGCUUCCCUCAUCGACGCUCACCCGCUGCCGGAAUUCGAUUCCUUCCAACCCCCGUUUCUAGCCCUAACCAAAAGCAUCAUAUUUCAGCAGCUGGCGUACAAAGCCGGCAAUGCAAUCUACGAGCGCUUCCUUUCCCUCUGCGGCGGUGAGGAGGGCGUUGUACCCGAAAUCGUGCUCGCCCUCUCCUCGAACCAGCUCCGGCAAAUGGGCAUCUCCGGCCGAAAGGCCACUUACAUCUACGACCUCGCGAGCAAGUACAAGAACGGGAUUUUAUCGGAUUCUUCGAUUCUUGAAAUGGAUGACAGGUCUCUGUUCACAAUGCUCAACAUGGUGAAGGGCAUUGGGUCUUGGUCCGUACACAUGUUCAUGAUUUUCUCGCUCCACAGACCAGAUGUUCUCCCCGUGAACGAUGUCGGCGUUCGCAAGGGGGUUCAGCUUCUCUACGGUCUGGAAGAGUUGCCGCGGCCGUCACAGAUGGAACAGCUGUGUGAGAAGUGGAGGCCGUACAGGUCUGUUGCGUCGUGGUAUAUGUGGAGGUUUGUUGAAGCAAAGGGGGCUCAGACAGCAACGGCAUUGGUGGAUAGAACUGUACAGCAUCAGCAGCAGCUGCAAGAACCGCAGCAGCAUCAGCAUCAGCAUCAGCAUCAUCAGCCUCAUCAGCAUCAGCAACAGCAACAGCUGCAUCAGCGACAACAGCAGCACAAUCAGCAUCAGCAUCAGCUACAGCUUUUGGAUCCUAUCAAUGGCAUUGCAAAUUUCGGGGCCUGCAUCUGGGGACAAUGACUUGGGGAUGGAUGAUACCCUGUAUGUCAUUCUUUCCAUGAAAUCCUCAAUUGAUCAAUCUGAAGAGGGGGGACUAAUGCAACAUGAGAAAUUAAUGAAGAUGGCACAGAGAGCUUGGUUUUUUGGAAUUUCCUCUGUGUUCCCAGUAAAAAUGAAGAACUUUUGCAUCGAUAAGUCGUCCACUUGCAUUCACUCCUUGAUGUUAAUUUUGUUGAGCAGCUGUUUGCUUGAGCUGUUCUCCAGCAGACAUGGUCGUAUUUAGAUGUAUCAUGUGAAGUCGCUUCCUUGUGGUUAGCAUUAGGAGCUAGCUCAAAUUCUGUUUUGCUUCCAACCCCAACCCCACACCCACCCCGACCCCGACCCCCACCCCCACUCCCACUCCCACUCCCACUCCCACCCCAGUUUAUUUUUAUUGAAAUCCUUGUAUAUGGUAUCCUUUUAACCAUGUUUAUUCAGAGGAGUUAAAAGCAACUGUCGAUGUCUGCUUCCCCGCACUGUGGUGGUAACUAUUUUGACCGUGUGAGGCUCCAUACUCGUGUUAAUGGGAAUGGUUCUCAUCAUACAAAUUCAAGAAAUUAUUUUUAAUUUCAAA